UGCCAGACUCCUACGGGAGGCAGCAGUGAGGAAUAUUGGUCAAUGGGCGGGAGCCUGAACCAGCCAAGCCGCGUGAAGGAAGAAGGCGCCAGGCGUCGUAAACUUCUUUUGUCGGGGAACAAAGGGCGCCACGCGUGGCGUUGUGAGUGUACCCGAAGAAAAAGCAUCGGCUAACUCCGUGCCAGCAGCCGCGGUAAUACGGAGGAUGCGAGCGUUAUCCGGUUUUAUUGGGUUUAAAGGGUGCGUAGGCGGUCCGGAAAGUCAGCGGUAAAAGCCCGGGGCUCAACCCCGGCCUGCCGUUGAAACUGGCGGCCUCGAGUGGGCGAGAAGUAUGCGGAAUGCGUGGUGUAGCGGUGAAAUGCAUAGAUAUCACGCAGAACUCCGAUUGCGAAGGCAGCAUACCGGCGCCCUACUGACGCUGAGGCACGAAAGCGUGGGUAUCGAACAGGAUUAGAUACCCCAGUA
Molecule: ribosomal RNA, 465 nt
Filed under: uncultured bacterium
Lineage: Bacteria
Description: bacterial SSU rRNA
Rfam family: Bacterial small subunit ribosomal RNA
Source: RNAcentral